Molecule: ribosomal RNA, 1395 nt
Filed under: metagenome
Description: bacterial SSU rRNA
Rfam family: Bacterial small subunit ribosomal RNA
Source: RNAcentral
GAGUAAAGUAUCGGAACGUACCAUUCAGUGGGGGAUAACGUAGCGAAAGUUACGCUAAUACCGCAUAUACUGUGAGCAGGAAAGCAGGGGAUCGCAAGACCUUGCGCUGAUUGAGCGGCCGAUAUCAGAUUAGCUAGCUGGUGAGGUAAAGGCUCACCAAGGCGACGAUCUGUAGCGGGUCUGAGAGGAUGAUCCGCCACACUGGAACUGAGACACGGUCCAGACUCCUACGGGAGGCAGCAGUGGGGAAUUUUGGACAAUGGGGGCAACCCUGAUCCAGCCAUGCCGCGUGAGUGAAGAAGGCCUUCGGGUUGUAAAGCUCUUUCGGCCGGGAAAAAAUCGCAUGGGUUAAUACCCUGUGUGGAUGAUGGUACCGGAAUAAGAAGCACCGGCUAACUACGUGCCAGCAGCCGCGGUAAUACGUAGGGUGCGAGCGUUAAUCGGAAUUACUGGGCGUAAAGCGUGCGCAGGCGGUUUGAUAAGACAGGCGUGAAAUCCCCGGGCUCAACCUGGGAACUGCGUUUGUGACUGUCUCACUAGAGUACGGCAGAGGGGGGUGGAAUUCCACGUGUAGCAGUGAAAUGCGUAGAGAUGUGGAGGAACACCAAUGGCGAAGGCAGCCCCCUGGGUCGAUACUGACGCUCAUGCACGAAAGCGUGGGUAGCAAACAGGAUUAGAUACCCUGGUAGUCCACGCCCUAAACGAUGUCAACUAGGUGUUGGGUGGGUAAAACCAUUUAGUACCGUAGCUAACGCGAGAAGUUGACCGCCUGGGGAGUACGGCCGCAAGGUUAAAACUCAAAGGAAUUGACGGGGACCCGCACAAGCGGUGGAUGAUGUGGAUUAAUUCGAUGCAACGCGAAAAACCUUACCUACCCUUGACAUGUCCAGGAGUCCGAAGAGAUUUGGAUGUGCUCGAAAGAGAACUGGAACACAGGUGCUGCACGGCUGUCGUCAGCUCGUGUCGUGAGAUGUUGGGUUAAGUCCCGCAACGAGCGCAACCCUUGUCGUUAAUUGCCAUCAUUUAGUUGGGCACUUUAACGAGACUGCCGGUGACAAACCGGAGGAAGGUGGGGAUGACGUCAAGUCCUCAUGGCCCUUAUGGGUAGGGCUUCACACGUCAUACAAUGGUCGGUACAAAGGGAUGCCAACCCGCGAGGGGGAGCUAAUCCCAUAAAGCCGAUCGUAGUCCGGAUCGUAGGCUGCAACUCGCCUGCGUGAAGUCGGAAUCGCUAGUAAUCGUGGAUCAGCAUGUCACGGUGAAUACGUUCCCGGGUCUUGUACACACCGCCCGUCACACCAUGGGAGCGGGUUCCGCCAGAAGUAGGUAGCCUAACCGCAAGGGGGGCGCUAACCACGGCGGGGUUCGUGACUGGGGUGAAGUCGUAACAAGGUA